This 408-nucleotide ribosomal RNA is filed under the name uncultured beta proteobacterium. Its description in RNAcentral is "bacterial SSU rRNA". It matches the Rfam family "Bacterial small subunit ribosomal RNA", at positions 9 to 419 of the family's 1533-position model. Lineage: Bacteria; Pseudomonadati; Pseudomonadota; Betaproteobacteria. The record is from RNAcentral.
GAGUUUGAUCUUGGCUCAGAUUGAACGCUGGCGGCGUGCUUAACACAUGCAAGUCGAGCGGCAGCGCGGGGGCAACCCUGGCGGCGAGCGGCGAACGGGUGAGUAAUGCUUCGGAAUCUUCCUAGUAGUGGGGAAUAACCUGGGGAAACUCAGGCUAAUACCGCAUACGAACUACGGUUGAAAGCAGGGGAUCGCAAGACCUUGCGCUAUUAGAUGAGCCGAAGUCGGAUUAGCUAGUUGGUGGGGUAAAGGCCUACCAAGGCGACGAUCCGUAGCUGGUCUGAGAGGACGACCAGCCACACUGGGACUGAGACACGGCCCAGACUCCUACGGGAGGCAGCAGUGGGGAAUUUUGGACAAUGGGCGCAAGCCUGAUCCAGCCAUGCCGCGUGCAGGAUGAAGGCCUUC